UAUCGGAUCGUUUUAGAAACAUCAGUGGCCAACAGAUCGCCAGAUCGUUGAGCUGCAUUGGCGGGAUUUCGCCGUCUUCGUUUCUCUUUCUUCGCGGACGAACACGCGCUGGGCCUGCAACGGCAGGAUCCAGGGUCCUUAACGGGAUGUGCGUUAGGGGCUUGUAGCUCAGUUGGUUAGAGCGCGCGCUUGAUAAGCGUGAGGUCGGAAGUUCAAGUCUUCCCAGGCCCACCACUUUCAUCGAGUGAGCAUUCGUCUUCUGGUUACGGGGCCAUAGCUCAGCUGGGAGAGCGCGUGCUUUGCAAGCAUGAGGUCGUCGGUUCGAUCCCGUCUGGCUCCACCAGAUGGUUUGAUCACCGAGAUCUUGACCGUCGUCCGCGAAACAUCACUUCGCAUCCUGCUAGUCUGGAUAGACAGCAGUUUGCGUGUUUUCUGACAUCGUAAAGAGGAGAUCGAUCCGAGUUGGGUCGUGCAGCAUAUCGUUGCGCGAGCCUUCAUUAUCUCCGGAUCAUUUCGGCGCUCGCUUCCAGCCGUGAGGUUGGAUGCGGGUUGUAAAUGAUCCUUUUAGCGAAGCUUGACCGCCUCGCUAUCGGAACGAUCUUACGAAGCAAGCUGGUCUUUCUAGUCAAUGUCCGGCUGCGGAUAGCGUUCAUCGAGGGCGCGUGCCGCAAGGCAAUUCUGCAGACAACAUUCUGCCGAGUGUGUGGACAUUGAUAAUGAGAGCAAUCAAGUGCCUUAAGGGUGUUCGGUGGAUGCCUUGGCGCUGAGAGGCGAUGAAGGACGUGCUACGCUGCGAUAAGCCGUGGGGAGCUGCGAAGAAGCUUUGAUCCGCGGAUU
This 837-nucleotide unclassified non-coding RNA is filed under the name Bradyrhizobium vignae. RNAcentral's name for it is "partial 16S-23S ribosomal RNA intergenic spacer". The stretch from base 725 to 837 matches the Rfam family "Bacterial large subunit ribosomal RNA", at positions 1 to 112 of the family's 2925-position model. Lineage: Bacteria; Pseudomonadati; Pseudomonadota; Alphaproteobacteria; Hyphomicrobiales; Nitrobacteraceae. The record is from RNAcentral.